CUUUCUCCAGUUGUCGGUAGGUCUACUCUAGAACUUUCUCCAGCUGUCGGUAGGUCUACUCUACAACUUUCUCCAGUUGUCGGUAGGUCUACUCUAGAACUUUCUCCAGGUGUCGGUAGGUCUACUCUAGAACUUUCUCCAGGUGUCGGUAGGUCUACUCUAGAAAUUUCUCCAGGUGUCGGUAGGUCUACUCUAGAACUUUCUCCAGGUGUCGGUAGGUCUACUCUAGAACUUUCUCCAGGGGACGCUCU
Long non-coding RNA from Acanthochromis polyacanthus (spiny chromis), 251 nucleotides. RefSeq lists it as uncharacterized. Lineage: Eukaryota; Metazoa; Chordata; Actinopteri; Pomacentridae. The transcript has 4 exons. The record is from RefSeq and is a predicted model, not a curated record.